Molecule: ribosomal RNA, 460 nt
Filed under: uncultured bacterium
Lineage: Bacteria
Description: partial 16S ribosomal RNA
Rfam family: Bacterial small subunit ribosomal RNA
Source: RNAcentral
CCUACGGGUGGCAGCAGUGAGGAAUAUUGGUCAAUGGACGAGAGUCUGAACCAGCCAAGUAGCGUGAAGGAUGACUGCCCUAUGGGUUGUAAACUUCUUUUAUAUGGGAAUAAAAUGUUCCACGUGUGGGAUUUUGUAUGUACCAUAUGAAUAAGGAUCGGCUAACUCCGUGCCAGCAGCCGCGGUAAUACGGAGGAUCCGAUCCUUAGCCGGAUUUAUUGGGUUUAAAGGGAGCGUAGGUGGAUUGUUAAGUCAGUUGUGAAAGUUUGGGGCUCAACCUUAGAAUUGCAGUUGAAACUGGCAGUCUUGAGUACAGUAGAGGUGGGCGGAAUGCGUGGUGUAGCGGUGAAAUGCUUAGAUAUCACGAAGAACUCCGAUUGCGAAGGCAGUUCACUGGACUGCAACUGACACUGAGGCGCGAAAGUGUGGGUAUCAAACAGGAUUAGAUACCCGAGUAGUC